AGCGAACGCUGGCGGCAGGCCUAAUACAUGCAAGUCGAGCGCACCUUCGGGUGAGUGGCGGACGGGUGAGUAACGCGUGGGAACGUGCCCUUUGGUACGGGAUAACUGAGGGAAACUUCAGCUAAUACCGUAUGUGCCCUACGGGGGAAAGAUUUAUCGCCAUUGGAGCGGCCCGCGUUGGAUUAGGUAGUUGGUGGGGUAAAGGCCCACCAAGCCGACGAUCCAUAGCUGGUCUGAGAGGAUGAUCAGCCACACUGGGACUGAGACACGGCCCAGACUCCUACGGGAGGCAGCAGUAGGGAAUCUUGCGCAAUGGGCGAAAGCCUGACGCAGCCAUGCCGCGUGAAUGAUGAAGGUCUUAGGAUUGUAAAAUUCUUUCACCGGGGAAGAUAAUGACGGUACCCGGAGAAGAAGCCCCGGCUAACUUCGUGCCAGCAGCCGCGGUAAUACGAAGGGGGCUAGCGUUGCUCGGAAUUACUGGGCGUAAAGGGCGCGUAGGCGGAUGUUUAAGUCGGGGGUGAAAGCCCGGGGCUCAACCUCGGAAUUGCCUUCGAUACUGGACAUCUUGAGUACGGGAGAGGUGAGUGGAACUCCGAGUGUAGAGGUGAAAUUCGUAGAUAUUCGGAAGAACACCAGUGGCGAAGGCGACUCACUGGCCCGUUACUGACGCUGAGGCGCGAAAGCGUGGGGAGCAAACAGGAU
This 702-nucleotide ribosomal RNA is filed under the name uncultured Alphaproteobacteria bacterium. RNAcentral describes it as "bacterial SSU rRNA". It matches the Rfam family "Bacterial small subunit ribosomal RNA", at positions 28 to 778 of the family's 1533-position model. Lineage: Bacteria; Pseudomonadati; Pseudomonadota; Alphaproteobacteria. The record is from RNAcentral.